GUGGUAAUUCUAGAGCUAAUACAUGCUAAAAACCCCGACUUCAGGAAGGGGUGUAUUUAUUAGAUAAAAAACCAACGCCCUUCGGGGCUCCUUGGUGAAUCAUAAUAACUUAACGAAUCGCAUGGCCUUGCGCCGGCGAUGGUUCAUUCAAAUUUCUGCCCUAUCAACUUUCGAUGGUAGGAUAGUGGCCUACCAUGGUGGCAACGGGUAACGGGGAAUUAGGGUUCGAUUCCGGAGAGGGAGCCUGAGAAACGGCUACCACAUCCAAGGAAGGCAGCAGGCGCGCAAAUUACCCAAUCCCGAUACGGGGAGGUAGUGACAAUAAAUACUGAUACGGGGCUCUUUUGGGUCUCGUAAUUGGAAUGAGAACAAUUUAAAUCCCUUAACGAGGAACAAUUGGAGGGCAAGUCUGGUGCCAGCAGCCGCGGUAAUUCCAGCUCCAAUAGCGUAUAUUAAAGUUGUUGCAGUUAAAAAGCUCGUAGUUGAACCUUGGGUCUGGCUGGCCGGUCCGCCUCACCGCGAGUACUGGUCCGGCUGGACCUUUCCUUCUGGGGAACCUCAUGGCCUUCACUGGCUGUGGGGGGAACCAGGACUUUUACU
This 600-nucleotide ribosomal RNA is filed under the name Penicillium chrysogenum. Its description in RNAcentral is "SSU rRNA". It matches the Rfam family "Eukaryotic small subunit ribosomal RNA", at positions 149 to 756 of the family's 1831-position model. The record is from RNAcentral. Lineage: Eukaryota; Fungi; Ascomycota; Eurotiomycetes; Eurotiales; Aspergillaceae.